This 307-nucleotide ribosomal RNA is filed under the name uncultured bacterium. RNAcentral describes it as "bacterial SSU rRNA". It matches the Rfam family "Bacterial small subunit ribosomal RNA", at positions 772 to 1073 of the family's 1533-position model. The record is from RNAcentral.
ACUGAAUAGAUACCCUGGUAGUCCACGCCGUAAACGAUGAUAACUAGCUGUCCGGGUUCAUGGAAAUUCGGGUGGCGCAGCUAACGCAUUAAGUUAUCCGCCUGGGGAGUACGGUCGCAAGAUUAAAAACUCAAAGGAAUUGACGGGGGCCUGCACAAGCGGUGGAGCAUGUGGUUUAAUUCGAAGCAACGCGCAGAACCUUACCAACGUUUGACAUCCUCAUCGCGAUUUCCAGAGAUGGAUUUCUUCAGUUCGGCUGGAUGAGUGACAGGUGCUGCAUGGCUGUCGUCAGCUCGUGUCGUGAGAU